RNAcentral lists this ribosomal RNA (468 nucleotides) under uncultured bacterium. Its description in RNAcentral is "partial 16S ribosomal RNA". It matches the Rfam family "Bacterial small subunit ribosomal RNA", at positions 28 to 507 of the family's 1533-position model. The record is from RNAcentral.
GACGAACGCUGGCGGCGUGCUUAACACAUGCAAGUCGAACGGUGAUGCUCCAGCUUGCUGGGGUGGAUCAGUGGCGAACGGGUGAGUAACACGUGAGCAACCUGCCCCAGACUCUGGGAUAAGCUCUGGAAACGGCGUCUAAUACUGGAUACGAGACUGGCCCGCAUGGUCAUGGUUUGGAAGGUUUUGCGGUUUGGGAUGGGCUCGCGGCCUAUCAGCUUGUUGGUGGGGUAAUGGCUCACCAAGGCGUCGACGGGUAGCCGGCCUGAGAGGGUGACCGGCCACACUGGGACUGAGACACGGCCCAGACUCCUAAGGGAGGCAGCAGUGGGGAAUAUUGCACAAUGGGCGAAAGCCUGAUGCAGCGACGCCGCGUGAGGGAUGACGGCCUUCGGGUUGUAAACCUCUUUCAGCAGGGAAGAAGCGAAAGUGACGGUACCUGCAGAAGAAGCACCGGCUAACUACGUG